CAGUAGCCGCGGUAAUACGAAGGGGGCUAGCGUUGUUCGGAUUUACUGGGCGUAAAGGGCGCGUAGGCGGAUUUGUAAGUCAGGGGUGAAAUCCCGAGGCUCAACCUCGGAACUGCCUUUGAUACUGUGGAUCUUGAGUCCGGGAGAGGUGAGUGGAACUGCGAGUGUAGAGGUGAAAUUCGUAGAUAUUCGCAAGAACACCAGUGGCGAAGGCGGCUCACUGGCCCGGAACUGACGCUGAGGCGCGAAAGCGUGGGGAGCAAACAGGAUUAGAGACCCCUGUAGUCCCUGUCUCUUAUAC
RNAcentral lists this ribosomal RNA (301 nucleotides) under uncultured bacterium. Its description in RNAcentral is "partial 16S ribosomal RNA". It matches the Rfam family "Bacterial small subunit ribosomal RNA", at positions 509 to 807 of the family's 1533-position model. The record is from RNAcentral.